Molecule: non-coding RNA, 72 nt
Organism: Phrynosoma platyrhinos (Desert horned lizard)
Lineage: Eukaryota; Metazoa; Chordata; Lepidosauria; Squamata; Phrynosomatidae
Source: the annotation of a GenBank genome assembly
GCCAGUGUGGUGUAGUGGUUUGUCCAUUGAACUACAACGCUGGAGAUCAGGGUUCGAUUCCCUGCUUGGCCA